CCUACGGGCGGCAGCAGUGGGGAAUAUUGGGCAAUGGGCGCAAGCCUGACCCAGCAACGCCGCGUGCAGGAAGAAGGCUUUCGGGUUGUAAACUUCUUUUGUCAGGGACGAAGCACGUGACGGUACCUGACGAAUAAGCCACGGCUAACUACGUGCCAGCAGCAGCGGUAAUACGGAGGUGGCAUGCGUUAUCCGGAUUUACUGGGUGUAAAGGGAGUGUAGGCGGGACGGCAAGUCAGAUGUGAAAACCACGGGCUCAACCUGUGGCCUGCAUUUGAAACUGGAGUUCUUGAGUACUGGGGAGGCAGACGGAAUUCCUAGUGUAGCGGUGAAAUGCGUAGAUAUUAGGAGGAACACCAGUUGCGAAGGCGGUCUGCUGGACAGCAACUGACGCUGAGGCGCGAAAGCGGGGGGAGCAAACAGGAUUAGAUACCCUGGUAGUC
Molecule: ribosomal RNA, 443 nt
Filed under: uncultured bacterium
Lineage: Bacteria
Description: partial 16S ribosomal RNA
Rfam family: Bacterial small subunit ribosomal RNA
Source: RNAcentral